RNAcentral lists this ribosomal RNA (253 nucleotides) under uncultured microorganism. RNAcentral describes it as "partial 16S ribosomal RNA". It matches the Rfam family "Bacterial small subunit ribosomal RNA", at positions 524 to 776 of the family's 1533-position model. The record is from RNAcentral.
UACGUAGGGUGCGAGCGUUAAUCGGAAUUACUGGGCGUAAAGCGUGCGCAGGCGGCUUUGCAAGACAGAGGUGAAAUCCCCGGGCUCAACCUGGGAACUGCCUUUGUGACUGCAAGGCUAGAGUACGGCAGAGGGGGAUGGAAUUCCGCGUGUAGCAGUGAAAUGCGUAGAUAUGCGGAGGAACACCAAUGGCGAAGGCAGUCCCCUGGGCCUUUACUGACGCUCAUGCACGAAAGCGUGGGGAGCAAACAGG